Molecule: ribosomal RNA, 381 nt
Filed under: uncultured eukaryote
Lineage: Eukaryota
Description: partial 18S ribosomal RNA
Rfam family: Eukaryotic small subunit ribosomal RNA
Source: RNAcentral
CAAUAGCGUAUAUUAAAGUUGUUGCAGUUAAAAAGCUCGUAGUUGGAUUUGUGGUUUGUCCGUUCGGCUGGGCCUUUAUUGGUCUUUGCUGUGUUGGUCAUCCAUCCUUGGGUGGAUCCUGUGUGGCAUUAGGUUGUCGCGCAGGGGAUGCCCAUCGUUUACUGUGAAAAAAUUAGAGUGUUCAAAGCAGGCUUAUGCCGUUGAAUAUAUUAGCAUGGAAUAAUGAUAUAGGACCUUGGUACUAUUUUGUUGGUUUGCGCAUCGAGGUAAUGAUUAAUAGGGACAGUUGGGGGUAUUCGUAUUCCAUUGUAAGAGGUGAAAUUCUUGGAUUUUUGGAAGACGAACUACUGCGAAAGCAUUUACCAAGGAUGUUUUCAUUAA